RNAcentral lists this small nucleolar RNA (106 nucleotides) under Thalictrum thalictroides. RNAcentral's name for it is "Plant small nucleolar RNA R71". It matches the Rfam family "Plant small nucleolar RNA R71". From Rfam's summary of the family: R71 is a member of the C/D box family of snoRNAs containing the C (UGAUGA) and D (CUGA) box motifs. Multiple nearly identical copies of this snoRNA have been identified in Arabidopsis, and it is thought to function as a 2'-O-ribose methylation guide for 18S ribosomal RNA. The record is from Rfam by way of RNAcentral. Lineage: Eukaryota; Viridiplantae; Streptophyta; Magnoliopsida; Ranunculales; Ranunculaceae.
AUUUGAUGACGUGGACAUUGAAUUUGUAACUCCCCAAAUCUUUGCCAAGCUUCGAAGAAUUCCUCCGUAUGCUUUUGUCUAAAAGUUUGGAUCUUGUUUCUUAACU